Molecule: ribosomal RNA, 509 nt
Filed under: uncultured bacterium
Lineage: Bacteria
Description: bacterial SSU rRNA
Rfam family: Bacterial small subunit ribosomal RNA
Source: RNAcentral
AUUGAACGCUGGCGGCAGGCUUAACACAUGCAAGUCGAGCGGUAACAGAGAGAAGCUUGCUUCUCUGCUGACGAGCGGCGGACGGGUGAGUAAUGCCUAGGAAUCUGCCUAGUAGUGGGGGAUAACUUGCCGAAAGGUAAGCUAAUACCGCAUACGUCCUACGGGAGAAAGGAGGGGACCUUCGGGCCUUUCGCUAUUAGAUGAGCCUAGGUCGGAUUAGUUAGUUGGUGAGGUAAUGGCUCACCAAGACCGCGAUCCGUAACUGGUCUGAGAGGAUGAUCAGUCACACUGGAACUGAGACACGGUCCAGACUCCUACGGGAGGCAGCAGUGGGGAAUAUUGGACAAUGGGGGGAACCCUGAUCCAGCCAUGCCGCGUGUGUGAAGAAGGUCUUAGGAUUGUAAAGCACUUUAAGUUGGGAGGAAGAGCAGUUAACUAAUAUUUGACUGUUUUGACGUUACCGACAGAAUAAGCACCGGCUAACUUCGUGCCAGCCGCCGCCGUAACAC